AACGAACGCUGGCGGCGCGCCUAAUACAUGCAAGUCGAGCGAGAAGGUGUAGCAAUACACUUGUAAAGCGGCGAACGGGUGAGGAAUACAUGGGUAAUCUACCAUCGAGUGGGGAAUAACCAACCGAAAGGUUGGCUAAUACCGCGUACGCCUCCGGAUCUUCGGGUUCGGAGGGAAAGCUGCACUGUGAGUGUAGCGCUCUUUGAUGAGCUCAUGUCCUAUCAGCUUGUUGGUAGGGUAACGGCCUACCAAGGCUUUGACGGGUAGCUGGUCUGAGAGGACGAUCAGCCACACUGGCACUGCGACACGGGCCAGACUCCUACGGGAGGCAGCAGUAAGGAAUAUUGCGCAAUGGGCGAAAGCCUGACGCAGCGACGCCGCGUGGGGGAUGAAGGUCUUCGGAUUGUAAACCCCUUUCGGGAGGGAAGAUGGAACGAGCAAUCGUUCGGACGGUACCUCCAGAAGCAGCCACGGCCAACUUCGUGCCAGCAG
This 492-nucleotide ribosomal RNA is filed under the name uncultured bacterium. Its description in RNAcentral is "bacterial SSU rRNA". It matches the Rfam family "Bacterial small subunit ribosomal RNA", at positions 29 to 514 of the family's 1533-position model. The record is from RNAcentral.